Molecule: long non-coding RNA, 411 nt
Organism: Rosa chinensis
Lineage: Eukaryota; Viridiplantae; Streptophyta; Magnoliopsida; Rosales; Rosaceae
Exons: 2
Source: RefSeq, a predicted model, not a curated record
AUGAUCUCUCUCUCACCAUCUCUCAUUCUCUCUCUCAAGUCUUACCAUCUUCCACAAAAACUUAGGCCGCAACUAAAUUAGGCCAUGUCCUUUUAGAAUAGAUGAGGCCUUCAUCAGAUCCAUCCACCACGUCGUCCACUGCGGCUAAUCGACGGACUAUCCCCCAAAGCAAGGUCGCCGUUCUCGGUGUUCUCCAUCAUCAGGAUAUGGAAUCAUAGAUCUGGAAGGGAUGGAUGAGAUGAAGCCGGAAUUUUUUCUUUUUUGAUGUGAUAUGGGAAUUGAAAGCUAUGUUUAAAGCUUUGAUAUUUUUUUGUUAUUAAUUUUUUUUCUUAUGAACUUUGGCACAUUGAUUAUAGCAAACCCAGAUCAGUAUGUUUGCUGAGAUUAGUACUAAGCUUCAGAGUUUGAUUU